This is a non-coding RNA of Girardinichthys multiradiatus, 374 nucleotides long. The record is from the annotation of a RefSeq genome assembly. Lineage: Eukaryota; Metazoa; Chordata; Actinopteri; Cyprinodontiformes; Goodeidae.
UCAUUUUUAACACCAACAUGUUCUCUGUAGCUCUGCUGCUGCUGCUGGCUGCUGGAUCCUGUGUGAAAAGUGAAACGCUUACUCAGCCAGUCUCUCUGACUGUACAGUCAGGUCAGCCUUUAACCCUCAGCUGUCAGGUCUCUUAUUCUGUCAGCAGCUACUGGACAGCUUGGAUCAGACAGCAUGCAGGAAAAGAACUGGAAUGGAUUGGUGGAUCUGGAGAAGGCUCUGGAUGGAGUACAUACUACAAAGAUUCACUGAAAAACAAGUUCAGCAUCACCUUUGUUUCUUCCAGCAACACAGCAACUCUACAUGGACAGAAUAUGCAGCCUGAAGACUCUGCUGUGUAUUACUGUGCGAGAGAACCACAGUGA